Molecule: ribosomal RNA, 374 nt
Filed under: uncultured organism
Description: partial 16S ribosomal RNA
Rfam family: Bacterial small subunit ribosomal RNA
Source: RNAcentral
GUAGGUGGCAAGCGUUGUCCGGAAUUAUUGGGCGUAAAGCGCGCGCAGGCGGUCCUUUACGUCUGAUGUGAAAGCCCACGGGCUCAACCGUGGAGGGUCAUUGGAAACUGGGGGACUUGAGUACAGAAGAGGAAAGCGGAAUUCCAAGUGUAGCGGUGAAAUGCGUAGAGAUUUGGAGGAACACCAGUGGCGAAGGCGGCUUUCUGGUCUGUAACUGACGCUGAGGCGCGAAAGCGUGGGGAGCAAACAGGAUUAGAUACCCUGGUAGUCCACGCCGUAAACGAUGAGUGCUAAGUGUUAGGGGGUUUCCGCCCCUUAGUGCUGCAGCUAACGCAUUAAGCACUCCGCCUGGGGAGUACGGCCGCAAAGGCUGA